CCUACGGGUGGCAGCAGUGAGGAAUAUUGGUCAAUGGUCGAGAGUCUGAACCAGCCAAGUCGCGUGAAGGAUGACUGCCCUAUGGGUUGUAAACUUCUUUUAUAUGGGAAUAAAAUGUUCCACGUGUGGGAUUUUGUAUGUACCAUAUGAAUAAGGAUCGGCUAACUCCGUGCCAGCAGCCGCGGUAAUACGGAGGAUCCGAGCGUUAUCCGGAUUUAUUGGGUUUAAAGGGAGCGUAGGUGGCUUGUUAAGUCUGUUGUGAAAGUUUGCGGCUCAACCGGAGAAUUGCAGUUGAAACUGGCAGUCUUGAGUACAGGAGAGGUAGGCGGAAUUCGUGGUGUAGCGGUGAAAUGCUUAGAUAUCACGAAGAACUCCGAUUGCGAAGGCAGCUUACUGGACUGCAACUGACGCUGAGGCUCGAAAGUGUGGGUAUCAAACAGGAUUAGAUACCCUUGUAGUC
This 460-nucleotide ribosomal RNA is filed under the name uncultured bacterium. RNAcentral describes it as "partial 16S ribosomal RNA". It matches the Rfam family "Bacterial small subunit ribosomal RNA", at positions 338 to 795 of the family's 1533-position model. The record is from RNAcentral.